GUUAAUCAGCGGACUGGAGACGCGUCAAAUCUCUGUCACCUCUCAACAGCUCGGGUUUAGUUUAGUUUUUUGUUAAAAAAAAAAAAAAAACGCUAACUGCUUGUUUUUGCUCUCGGUAUGUGCGGCUAGGAGUACCCUUUUACAUACGAAUAUAUACUGAAGUUGGAGUUUCAUCUGAAGACAAGUGAAAAUAUGCCAGCACACGGAAACGCCUGGGGCUUGUGGAAAUCCGUGUGAGUUGUAUGAGGGAGAAGAUUUUACCAUUGAAAACGUCGAGGUGCUCUGUUUACGUUUUCGUUUGCUGAACUCAGAGAACUUAAACCACCCCUGAACACAUAUUUCUUCUAGUAAAUGCUGGGUUCGGUAAAAGAAAAACAACAACAACAACCAACCUGGACGGAUAUAUUCCUGAGCUUUAUUCCUGAGAUUUAUUCCUCAGCUCUUCAUACAGAAGUCUAGAAGGCUCUGAAGGACUUUAGUGCAUUUCUGACUCAGUUCAUUCACCCCACUGACUACUAAAACUCCAAAUCUCAUGAGAGAGUGAAUUUUAUUUAUUUAUUUAUUUUUAUUAAUUAUUUAAAAAACAUUUUUUUGGGGGGGGGACCUGGAUGCAGAUAAUGAGUUUUCUUCAGUUUUCCUCAGGACCUUCACACACAUUCACAUUAUUGAUUCUCCUCAUGCAUGUGCACUCAAGUGCAGUAGCAAAACGACACAUGGUCUACUGGAACUCUACCAACACCAGGUUAACGAGCGAUGACUAUUCAGUCCAGGUAAAUCUGAACGACUACCUGGACAUCUUGUGCCCUCACUACCCGUCCGGCUCUCCUGAGAAAGGCCCUCCGGAGACGCUGGCGCUCUAUCUGGUAGCAGAGAACCAGUUUCAGGGCUGCCAUGAGACCGAAGGAGCCAUAAAGAGGUGGGAGUGCAACUCUCCGUACGCGCCCUUCGGCCCGGUCCGAUUCUCCGAGAAGAUCCAGCGCUUCACGCCCUUCUCUCUGGGCUUCGAGUUCCUCCCUGGACACCACUAUUACUACAGCUCCCUGUCUGUGGAUGAUGGACCCCCCCUUCCGUGCAUGAAGCUCAAAGUCACUGUGUGCUGCGAGUCCAGUCCCUCCAUGGUCCUCCAGCACGCUUAAUCUUCUCCCAUCGCUUUCUUGCUUCCCUGCCAUCUUUUUCGGGAUGCGACCUUUAAAAGAAGCGGGGAUGUAUUUUGGGGUUGCACAGCCGUUCGUAAUUUUUCAUGACAUUUCUGUCAACAGAUGGUAAAAAGGUAGAAGGUAAGAUGUUGCAUUGACAGGAGUGACAAUAUUGUGCUUAUUUGAUGAGGCCUUCUAGAUGUUGGGAAUUGUUUUAAUAACUCCCGCUACUGAUAUAUAAAUGAGUAAAAAGUAAAUUGCGUGCAAUAUCUUUUCACAGGAACUCCAGCUCCCCACAGUUUUGCCCAACCUGGAAGAACUAGUCCACUGCCUGUCCUCGCUCUCACCUCCUUUUCUCUGUUUUGUCUUUUAUGAUAAUUGGAAGAUUCGACCCAGCUAAAUAGCAAAGACUUGCCAACAGGUCAUGAACGAUCAUUCCCUAUCUGUAGCUAAGCACACAUGCGAACACACACACACACACAGACACACACACACACACACACACACACACACAUUCACACACUCACUCAGCUCACGCCUUACUGUCAUGUAUUUGGAGUGGCACUAAUCUCGCUCCCUCCAUUUCCUCCCUCUCUCUGUCCACUCUGCGCCGCUUCAUUCUACAAGCGACUGGCACUAAUCUACCUUCAAAGAGCUCUUCCUGCUGCUCUUCUUUUGCGUAAUCCUUUCUUCAUCUAAAAAAAAAAAAAAAGAAAAAAAACACAGCCCCCCCCUUCCCUCCAUCCACCACUUUUCUCUUACUGUACGCUACUACUGAACUGAGCCAAAGGGGAGAAGACGAGGAGAGCAGUGGACGUCCCUGUAGCACCUGUGCUGCUAAGAAAAAGCACAGGGAGGGACACAGCACAAGCAAUAAAGCUCUCGACUCAUUCAUCAGCUCUCAGGAUCACACGAGAAGACUUUAUUUUGCUCACUUUCUGCCACGGAUGAACUCGAGCCAAAGCGAGACACCACUACACUUAAGAUGAAACAUUUACCAUGUAUCUGAGGAGUAGCACAGACAAACGUGUCAUUUUUCAUUCAGAACACACUUGAGAGGAAACUGCAUCAAAGCUUCAACAAACUAAUCACUAAGGAUUGGACCAACAGGAAGAGGAUUUACUGCUUCCUGUUCAGGCGCAGCCGGAAAUGGCCAUUUCCCGUAGCAUCUCAGCAACGGUGAACGCGAUUGGACAGUUCGUUUCACACCGCCAGUAACGCGUGAAAAUGAUUGGUCAGUUCUCCUCUCCACUCCUCUCGCUUAAGAUGAUUGGUCCGUUUCCUGAACACGUGAUCACAUUCAGAUUCUUUUACUGAUGAUUUUAUUUUUAUUUUUUUUUGUUUUUUUUAUGUUCUGUCUACAUUCCUAGAAUUCUACAUGUAUGUACUGGCACCCAAUUCGAUUAUUAUACAGGUAACGAAUUCUGUUUGGUUUUUUUGGAAUAAGAGAAUAUAUUGAAUAUUUCAACAUAUUGUUUCUUUUCGUUAUUCAUUCCAAAGUGAAUUCAGAACAUGCUGUAUGCUCCUAUUUUACAGAAAUAAUACAUAAUAGAAAAUGGAUCUGUUUUUGUAAUAGAAAUUAAAUUUGAUUGAGAAGUAACAAAUCCUAUUUAAAUUCACUUAAAAAUGUUUGUUUAAAAGUCUUGUAUCUUGUGAUAUUGUGCAAAACAAAUUUGCAUUGUUUUGUUUUUUUCUCUUUCUAUGAAAUUUCAGUUUUUAUACUGACUCCAGUUAUUGAAUCAAGGGUGCCAGUGCAUUACUUAAAAAAAAAAACAAAACAAAAAAAAAAACAUUAUAUAUAUAUAAACAAUUUCUAAAAAAUUCCAAAAUGAAAAGUGUAAACCAGUCAAGUUUACACAGAAAAUGAUGUGCUGGAUUUAUUAUGAUUUAGGGAUUAUGUUUUCUCUGUGUAAUUAGUGUUUUUCACAUUUUAGUGAAGAGUUUUGUGUCUUCUGUGAAGAAUUACAGGUUUAACUGUUUUUGUACUGUGAAAUAAAUGAUUAAUUUGUGUUCGAGUCAA
RNA transcript from Ictalurus punctatus (channel catfish), 3156 nucleotides. It is a transcript of the gene named ephrin A4, with no coding region annotated. The record is from RefSeq and is a predicted model, not a curated record. NCBI's taxonomy places the organism in Eukaryota, Metazoa, Chordata, Actinopteri, Siluriformes, Ictaluridae. The transcript has 5 exons.